AGAGUUUGAUCAUGGCUCAGAACGAACGCUGGCGGUGUGGAUAAGACAUGCAAGUCGGACGAGAUUUCGUCCUGUAGCAAUAUGGGAUGAAGUCUAGUGGCGAACGGGUGCUUAACACGUGCGCAAACUGCCGAGAAGUGGGGGAUAGCUCGCCGAAAGGCGAAUUAAUACCGCAUGUGAUCAGAGAGGACAUCCUUUCUGAAAUUAAAGCUGGAGCAACCUACCGCUUCUUGUGGGGCCCGCGGCCUAUCAGCUAGUUGGUGAGGUAACGCCUCACCAAGGCUUUGACGGGUAGCUGGUCUGAGAGGACGACCAGCCACACUGGGACUGAGACACGGCCCAGACACCUACGGGUGGCAGCAGUCGAGAAUUUUUCUCAAUGGGGGAAACCCUGAAGGAGCGACGCCGCGUGGAGGAUGAAGGUCUUCGGAUUGUAAACUCCUGUCAUUGGGGAUCAAGGUGCAUACGUUAACUGCGUGUGCAUUGAUAGUACCCGAAGAGGAAGAGACGGCUAACUCUGUGCCAGCAGCCGCGGUAAUACAGAGGUCUCAAGCGUUGUUCGGAUUCAUUGGGCGUAAAGGGUGCGUAGCCGGCGCGGUAAUUCGGGUGUGAAAUCUUGGAGCUUAACUCCGAAACUGCAUUCGAUACUGCCGUGCUUGAGGACUGGAGAGGAGACUGGAAUUUACGGUGUAGCGGUGAAAUGCGUAGAUAUCGUAAGGAAGACCAGUGGCGAAGGCGGGUCUCUGGACAGUUCCUGACGCUGAGGCACGAAGGCCAGGGGAGCAAACGGGAUUAGAUACCCCAGUAGUCC
Molecule: ribosomal RNA, 811 nt
Filed under: uncultured bacterium
Lineage: Bacteria
Description: bacterial SSU rRNA
Rfam family: Bacterial small subunit ribosomal RNA
Source: RNAcentral